ACAGGUGCUGCGUGGCUGUCGUCAGCUCGUGUCGUGAGAUGUUGGGUUAAGUCCGUAACGAGCGCAACCCUUGUCCUUAGUUACCAGCACGUUAUGGUGGGCACUCUAAGGAGACUGCCGGUGACAAACCGGAGGAAGGUGGGGAUGACGUCAAGUCAUCAUGGCCCUUACGGCCUGGGCUACACACGUGCUACAAUGGUCGGUACAAAGGGUUGCCAAGCCGCGAGGUGGAGCUAAUCCCAUAAAACCGAUCGUAGUCCGGAUCGCAGUCUGCAACUCGACUGCGUGAAGUCGGAAUCGCUAGUAAUCGUGAAUCAGAAUGUCACGGUGAAUACGUUCCCGGGCCUU
This 348-nucleotide ribosomal RNA is filed under the name uncultured Pseudomonas sp. Its description in RNAcentral is "bacterial SSU rRNA". It matches the Rfam family "Bacterial small subunit ribosomal RNA", at positions 1034 to 1382 of the family's 1533-position model. The record is from RNAcentral. Lineage: Bacteria; Pseudomonadati; Pseudomonadota; Gammaproteobacteria; Pseudomonadales; Pseudomonadaceae.